Cavia porcellus (domestic guinea pig) is the source of this 9964-nucleotide long non-coding RNA. RefSeq lists it as uncharacterized. The transcript is spliced from 2 exons. NCBI's taxonomy places the organism in Eukaryota, Metazoa, Chordata, Mammalia, Rodentia, Caviidae. The record is from RefSeq and is a predicted model, not a curated record.
GGGCUUCCUGAGUAGGGAGUAACCAAUUUAUUGCUGCAGCUCUCUUUCAUCACUGAGUUUUAUCGUCAGUUUUGGUGCUCUUUGGGCCUAAUUUCCCAAAGACAUUCAGCAGUAGGUGUCACUCUAAAUCUGGCCCCUCAAAAUUCUGUUCCCGGAUUAUUCAAUCAAUCAUUUAAUCUCAGAACUGCUGUGAAGGAUACUUACAAGUGGUUUGAAGGUUAUGCUCAGCUGACGUGAAAUUGGAAGGAUCAUCCUGGUCCACCUGGCCAGCAAGGAAUCAGGAACUUCAAUUCUACAACUAUAUGGAACUGGAAUCUGCCAACAACUGAGUGAGCUUGGAAGUGGCUUCAGCCCUGCAGCUUCCAGAAAAGAGGCAGCCCUGCCAACACUUUGACUUCAGCCUUGCGAACCGUGGAGUUGAGAAACAGAUGAGCCACACUGUGCCCAGAUUCUGAUCUGCACAACAUGAUAAGCUUGUGUUGUUUUAAGCCGCUGGGUCUAUGGUGAUUUAGUAUGGCUGCAGCAAUGGAAAACUAAUACAUAUACUUUUUUUUUUUUUUUUUUUUUUGGUACUGGGGAUUGAACUCAUAACCUCAUCCUUGCCAGGCAGGCGCUUAGGGUACUGAGCUAAAUCUUUGGCCCAAAAUAUACACUUUUGAGAAGAGAUAGAUUUAUACCUUUGGUAGUUCCUUUUUUAUUUUAAAGAGAAAAAACAGAGGAAGCAAGAAGCAAACAAGCCAUCAAAAAACAGCAAAAGCAAAACGAUAACAACAAAAAUAACAACAGACAAUAGUUCCUUCUGAGUGUUCUCAAUGUUGUAGAAUGUCUUGUCUGUUCAUUUGAAUCUUUAAUUUAUUUUUCUUUAAAAAAAUUUGGGCGAGGGGCAGUGCUAAGGCCAGAACCCUAGGCCUUGUAUGUUCUAAGAAAGCACUUUACCACUGGGCUACCCCCACUCUUGAAUCUUUUAUUAUGAUAUGAAGGAAGUAGUUGGUCAUUCUGACCCAAGUACUGUCACUAUUCCUUUUAUUGCAUCAGCUGGGGACUGGCUAGUGCUUUUCUAAUAUUUUCAUCCAUAACCCUUGCAGCUAUAAUAACAGCCUGUUCUAUGUACAUAAUCAGAAGUACAUAGCUUCUAUUUAAACAGAUAUUUACUGGAAUUAAGUGUCUGGCUCUUUGCUGGACUCCGAGCUACAGAGAUUGCAAAUCAUAUUCUCAUGGACUAACACAGACACAGAAUAGCAGCAGCCAAGAGCCCCUCCGCAGACCAACUGCUGCCACUUCUAGCCAUGCCAUGGCUCUGUCCUCCCUCUGUGGUGGUGGUGGGGACUAGCAGGUAAGUACAAGGAGGCAUCAGUUGUGUGUCCCCUGCCCAGCACUCUGCAACUGCCAUGUGUGUACACUUGCUGAUGUAGUCACUGGUAUGUCACAGAUUGCUCAGUUUAGAUGGGUUUUGCCACUGUGAUGUCACUUGGGACACACGUGUGAACCCAUCUGGCAGGUAAAGAAGCUGAACCAAUGUGGGAAACAGAACAUGUGGGGAACAGAAGGCAAAGUUGGUGCUCACACUGCCCUCUGAACAGAAUAAUCCCACUGGAGACAAAGGUUUUUGUAAAGAGCAGAGUGUUUGCUUUGUGAAUGGAGACCUGGUGGGGUCACUAGGUGCAGUCAUUUCUGGUGUUGCCUGGAGGAUUUCCUGGGCCUCCUAGAGCUAUUUUCUGAAGCUUGCAGAACAAGAGGCGAGACUGGCUUGAGAGGGACAAGUCACAUCACUGCCCCUUCCUGUCUGCUAAGAAUAAAGCAGGACAUGCCACUUCCUGUGUCCUGCAAAAUCUGUCAGAAUAAAAAUGAAAUAAUUUUUAUCAAAUCCUGAGAGAAAGAGAGAGAGAGUCUGGAAGAAGCUGGAAAUGGUAUCUCAUGUUUAUAAUCCCAGCAUUCAAGAGGCUUAAGUAGGAAGAUUAUGAGUUUGGGGCCAGUGAGUUAUAUAUCACAUUCAACCUGGGCUACUUACAAAGACCCAGUCUCUGAAAGGAAGAAGAAAAAGAAAGAAGAGGAAGAGAAGGAAGAGGGAGGAAGAAGAGAAAAAGAAGAAGUUGCCAGGUUAUGAAGGAGAGGAUUUUAGAAAUGCACGUUUAAUAAUAAGAGCUGUCAUGAAUGACGGUCGAUGCAGUACAGUGAAAUGGCACACAUCUAGGAUCUCUGCUACCUGCUUCUUGAGGGCAACCUGGGAAACUUUUUAAAAUCCUGUCUCAAAAUUAAAAGGUCAUGGAGUGUAGCUCAGUGGUGGAGGGCUCAAUCACCAGUACCAAAAGAAGAAAAGACGAUAGAAAGGGCUCUAAUGACCCACCUCACUAUGUCAUGUGUCUAGCAACUGUCACCCAGUCUUGGGCUGAUGCCAUCUUGUUACUGAUCUUUGCAGCCAUAGGUGCUUGUGGUUCAACACGUCUCACAUAACCCUUCUCAUUCUGCUUUUAACACUGUCUCUUUACUCUGGACUCUUCAAAUAUGCCCAGGAUUUCUAUGGCAUAUGUAUUCUGUAUUGCAAUGCUCCCUGCUUAUUCCCCUGAAAAUAUCAUAAUUUUUUUUGUUUUAAUGUUUAUGGUGCUAGGGAUUGAACCCACAACUUCACACUGUUCUACCACGGAGUUACAUCCACCAUUGUUUUGUUUUUUAUUUUGAAACAGGAUCUUAUAUUAAGUUGCCUAGGUUAGUCUGGAACUUACAAUCCUCUUCCUCCAGCCUCCUGAGUACUUGGGAUUACAGGUAUGCACCACAGUCAGGCUAAGACUGUUCUUUAGAGAAUAUCCCCCUCUUUUAUUUAAGGCUGAUUAGUCUGAAACUUGCCCUUCAAAGGCCCCUCUUCAGUGCUCUUCCACCUGAGAAGGCUUCCCCUUACCCCACCAAGAGGUCCACCCUGAAUUCUCACAGCACUGUGACAAAAGCUCCCCACACUGACUCCAACUCAGUCUCUCUGCUCAUCAGAGGAUUGGCAUUGUUGGUCCCCUAGGCCACACACAGCCUUGCCUCCUGCCCAUGGGUGUCCUCCUCCUAGCCCCCAUGGACUCUGGGCACUAUGGACAAGGUGAAUUACUCACUUUUCUGUUUUGAGGCACUUUCCAGGACGGCACAGGAUGUUUUGGAAGAGAGAAACACCUCCACCAUGGAAAGGAACUGAGUUUCUGGCACUGGGUUUGAACUGAAAGGUUUCAGGCUGCACAGUCUAGAUAAACUUCACCCAAAAGCCCUGAGCAGGGGUCAGGAAGCAAGAUACGCGUGCUGUUAGGGAGACACCUCUGUCACACCCUACUCCAAAAGCAGCACCCUUGCUUGCAUAUUCCAGAACUCUGGGUCCCUGGACAUCCUGUGAGGAUGACCUCUUCCCAGACCUCUGAGACAGUUGGCUGGUGAAUCCAUGUAUGAGUGUAAGCCAACUGCCACAGCCAGCUUCCAAGCAAAGUUUGUUUUUUACUUUAUGCCUAUGUUUUUGUGUGUUCCUCUCCACCACCACCAUGCUGGUACUGAUGACUGAACUCAAGGCAUUGACUAAACUAUAUCUUCAGCAUUUUAGUAUUUAUUUUGAGGCUAAGUCACUAAGUUGCCCAUGGUCACUCUCAAUAACUAAAUUGCUCAGGCUAAUCCCAGUUGGUACCGGGGAUCAAACUCACAACCUUGCAGUUGCCAGGCAGGUGCUUAAGCCACUGAGCUAAAUCCGCAGCCCUAAACUCAGAUUUUUAAUCCUCCUACCUCAGCCUCUGAGACUUCUAGGAUUACAGAGUGUUCUCAAUGUUGUAUAAUAUCCUAUCUGUUCGUUUGAAUUUCUAAUUUAUUUUUCUUUAAAAAUAUUUUUUAAAUAUUUAUGUUUUUAAGCCCCAAAGACUGCUGUUUCUCAAAAGAACUGGGUCUUUAAUGUGAGGACUUUGUGAAAAAAAAAAAAAAAGGACUGGGUCACUGUGCUUCCUCAGAAGAUCCCUCUCAGGGCUGAGAAUCCAGGUUCUGUGGUUCCAGCUUGCAGCUGUUGGGCAGCAGCUAACCAACAAUGCCUUAUAUCCCAGUGUCCUCUUCAUUUUGCUCUAACUCUCUCACCUGCGCCUGCCUCAAGAGGCAGGUGAUAGGGCAUGGCCAUGCUGCAAGAGAGCAGCCCAGCUGCAAAAUGCCCUUCAUGUGCCAAGACACACCCCAUCCGCGGUACAUGCUGAAUGGUUGGCAGGCAGGAUUGUACUGGUUACAACAGAAGGAAAAUGGUGUUGUUAACCAACAUCCCCUUUCUACUGACAUCCCAUCAUUUUAUUUGUAUGUGUUUUGUUAUAAAUUAACAAUUGCAUCUGAGGAAAAGAGCUCAAACAAUAAAGAAAAAAUGUAAACAUUGUCCUGUCUCACUCCAGCUCUGCUCCUGGAGGUGGCCUCUCUUUAACUAUUGCUCUUACUGUGGGUAACUCCCCAGCUGUGAAGUGUACACCCCAUGUCUUAACUUCUCUGAUAGUAUGGAGUUUGUCUGACUGUAGCCUAUAAAAAAUGCAAAAUGAACACAUGCAUGCAACAUCCCUCAUCUCAGCCUGUCAAUUUGUUUAUUGCUUUUAUUUCUUCUAAUCCAGUGUCUUCAAAGAGGGUCCUUGUGAACAACUGCUUAAAAUGCAGAUUACCUGGCCCAAGAUUAUAAUUUUUAGAAUUUGUGGUUAGUAAUGUGUUAAAAAUGCAUGUUACUAAUUAGUGCAUUUUAAAAUAAAAAACAUGCAUUUUUAGUCAUCACCCCUAGUUAAUUCUUUUUUCCUGGUUAAUUCUGAAGUACACUAAAUUUUGGAAUCAUCAUACUUAUACCUCUCUUCAUAACUGUAUAUAAAUCCUCAACUAAGACAUUAUGUUUGCUCCAUCAAAAACUCAACUAAGGAAUGACAUUAGUGAAAAUAGAGGAGUAAAAACAUCCACAUUUCAUCCCUCCAUAAAAGCAAUGAAAAAGUUGACAAAAACUCUAAAACUUUCUUAGAACCAAAGGCUUACAGAAAACUAGGAAAAACAUUCAAAAAUGGCCAAUUCUCAAUAAGAAAUAACAGAUAAAAUUUUCCCUAAUGUGAUGAAUUUUGAGUUAGUAAUAGAAUUUUUUUUCUAGCAAAGAGAAGCCCAGGACCAGAUGGGCUAUUAAAUACUACAAACAUAUUUUUAAAAGUUUUAAUAGAAACACUUCUCAAAUGCUUCUGAAGAUGUAAGAGAGGGAAUAUUUUCUAACUGAUUCUAUUAGGCCAGUUUUAGCCAGAGAAAGCUACCAUAAGACAAAUACAGACCAAGGUCCCUUAGAAAGUAGAUUCAACAGGACCUGGGGUUUAGCUCAGUGGCACAAGUGCCUGCCUGGCAAGCGCAAAGUCAUGAGUUUGGUACUAAAAAAAAAGUAGAUGCAGGUCAGGUGCGAUGACUCAUGCCAGUAAUCCCAGAAUUCAAGAGGCUGAGGCAGGAGGAUUGCCACAAGUUCAAGGCCAACCUGGGCUACAUAGUGAGCACAAGGCCAGCCUGGACUAGCUAGCAAGACCCUGUCUCAAAAACAACAGCAAAAAAAUAGAUGCAAAAAAUCUUCAACAAAUCUAGCACACUGAAUUUAGCAAUGUAUUAAAGGGAUUAUAUACCACAACCAAGUAGAGUUUAUCCUAGGAAUACAAAGUUGGCACAAAACUCAAUCAGUAUAAUACAUCAUAUUAAUAGAAUAAAUGGGGAAAAAACAUAAGAUCACCUAAAUAGACACAGAAAAGUUUGCCAAAGGUGCAUUUGACAAAGAUAAAACAUAUUUUCAUGAUAAAGCCAUGCAAUAAACUAGUAAUAUAAGGGAACAUAAUCUGAUAAAACCCACAGCUACCAUCAUUUCUAACAGUAAAAGACUAAAAAUUCUCUCUCUGCAAUUAUCAACAAGACAAAGAUGUCUACUCUUGUCACUUCUACUUAACAUGCAUUAGAGGUUCUAGACAGAGCAAUUACAUACGAAAAAGAAAUACAAGUCAUCCCAGCUGGAAAGGAAGAAAUAAAACUAUCUUUUUUGCAGAUUGCAUGAUCUUGUAUGUAGAACAUCCUAAAGAAUCUACAAAAACAAAACAUAAAGUUAAAAAUCUUUAUACAUCAUGAGAAAUUAUUGAGGACUAUGAGUCAGAUGGAAAUCUCGUCAUUUGACUCACAAAACAGUUGUAAGGGCCAAUGCUAAUGCUGCAGUCCUUCUUCUCCGGGGCCCACGGCCCCUUUCGCUGUGUAGCUUCUUGCUGGUGUUCAACUCAGCCCUGGUUUAUCCCUCAUUGUGAUCUUAUCCACUCCCUUUCUCCCAAAAACUAUCCAAACUCCUUCAGAAUUUCUGAUCGACUGACGAUCUUUAUUAUUUCCCAUAUUGAUACAGGUUUAUUCGUUUUCAAUAACUUCACUGUUCUGUUAAAUGGGACUUGGGGAGAGUAAACAUUCUGUCCAGUAUCAUAACCUUUUUCCUAGUCUAGCAGCCCCGACCCUGCUUUGAUUCCGGCUCUUUGUUAUUUGGUUUUGUUUGUGGCACUGGGGAUUGCACAGAGUCACCCUACUGCUGACUCUUGCCUCUUUGUUCCCGAGCUUGGGCCAGUCACAGUUGAGGAUCUGGCAGCAGAUCUCAUGGGUCUAGAAGGCUCUAAGUUUGCUAAGUCUCAAGUGAAUUAGUCCAUUUUCUGCUGCUAUAAUAAAAUAGUUAAGGCUUAGUUCAGUGACGGUGUAGCAGAAGAUGCCUCCCACCAGGCAGUAUACUUCAGUUUGUUAAUUGCCCAGGGAAUAGUUUCAGUUUCUGCCACUUAUUUCUUAGAAACAGCUGGUCACUGUGAUGCAUAGAUGGUCACUAUGAUGUAUAUUGUGAAAACCAAUCCCCAAAUGACAACCAUUCUGCUUCUGUACUUCCUGCUUGCUUAUCCCAUAUAGGUCCUAGACUACCAGAGAUGAGGGCCUGAUAUUUUGAGGGACAGUUGAUUCCCUAUCAGUGCUCGUCCAAUGUUAAAUAAGUCUGCCUCCAAAUCCUGGGUGUUGUGUUGCUGUUUGCUAUAGGUGAACCUUUUAAAGCUUUCAAUGAUACAAAUAGCCAGCUACAACACAUGUGCCAUAGGCUCACUACCAUUGGGCUAAUGUUUUAUAAAGGGAAGAGGUUUAUUUAGUUCACCUUUUAGUUUGCUGAGUCAGCCUCUAGUAAGGGCCCCCUGGGGGCCUCACAUGGUAAAUGGCAUCGUGCUGGGAGCAUGCAUGUGAGGGAGAGAUCACAUGAAACAGGAACCCAGGCAGCAAUUCACAGGUCAGCCUCACUUUUUUUGACAACUAACUUUAUGAGAGCUACCUUACAACCCAUGAUAACUACCUUGCUCCCUUUGAGUUAGCACCCCCAAUGAUCUAAUCAACUCUCCAAGCCCUGCCUCCUAACACUACCACACCAGGAACCAAGUUUCCAACUAAAGCAUGGGAAUUGGAGAAUUCAAUUCACAUUCCAAUUAUAUCAAACCCAGCCAAACGGUAGUAUGUGACCAUCUCACCUUUCUUUACAGCUAGAUGUGACCAUGUGACCAUUGUCAAAUGCUAGUGUUGUACUCUAAGAAAAUAGCUUCGUUAUAUGUGUAUUAUAGCAAACCUGUAAAGUGGCUUACUAAAUGUUUUUUUUAUCCUUUUUCCCUAACUGAUAUGUUAAGUGACCUAAUUAAUAUGUUGAGCAAUACUCUCCUCUGUAAAGAAUUGCAAGAAUCUCACCUAAUUGAUAUGUUAACCAUUGUUGCCCUCUCCAAACUACAGAAGUUGUGCUAAAACAAGCUAACAAGGGUUGUUAAUCACUGUUAGGCGCCUCUAUUCUCCACUAAAGAGCUAAAGAAAACUAGAAUGGCUCAUUAAUUUAUACUUGUUUAAAGUAACCUGCUUGUGUGCAGAGAGAUUUGCGUAUGAGUUUAACCCUUUACCCUGACCUUGACACAUAACCGCCGUUUUCUGUUCUGUAUGGCGCCUUAUUGCCUCCCUCUCCCCUCACCUAUCUAUCUAGGCCAUAAAGAAUUUGGGUUUCUGGUGACCUCCUCCCGACCUGGUGAUGAUCUGUCAUAAAAUGAACCUGCCCCAAAUUUUAAGAACUGUUUAGCUUCAAAGAAAUUACCGGGAAAUACUAUGGCCCAAACCCCAAUUGGUGCUUUCCUUUUGUUCUGUAUGCAUCAAAUGAGUUAGAUAUCAGAUCUUUUGUAAAACUUAAGUUUCAGCUUCUUGUAACUCUUGACCCCUUCGCACCCACUAGCGAAAACGAGCUGUCCUGGGAUAAUUAACUUCCCCACUUUCUUCUCCAAAUAUUGCUGCAGAUGUGCCACUCCGAGAUAAUGUCAGUCUGUAGGAUGGGAGUAAUUUGAGAAACACCAGGAACUCCUGAGAUUGUCAGAGCUAAGUGGACAGCAAUACAAUUUCCAGACUCGGGUCAACAAGUUUGGUGGCUCUGCAGGUUUCUUUGUUCCUCCCCGCACCCUUUUCCUCCAGCCUCUUUUUAAAGUCCUCCCUUCAGUCUCUGGGACACAGUCUCCAAAUUGGCUCCCGGAGACUGGUCGCCAGGCCUGGAAAUAAAGCCUUUGCCACCUAAAUUUUCGGUCUCUUGCCUCCUUGGAUUUUAUACCGGGGCCCAAGUUAUAACACCAGUUUCUAGGAAACUUUAACUCCAUGGCAGUCCCAGUUCUCAGCUUUGGCAUGGUGAGUCUCUUCCAGGCUACUACCAACCUCAUCCCAGCUGCGCCAGCUCCCUCACUGCUCUGCUGUUGUCCCAUCCCCACGUACCAGUGCUUGUUACUACUCAAGCCCAGGUCUCUCCUUUCCUGAAUGCCUGUUCCCACUUUUGCCUUAGUCCCUACUCAUUUCUGUAAGCCCGCUGGAAAGAUUAGCUCCUCUCAGCAAUUUCCCAGCUCCCCAGCUGGAUGGCUCUGUUCAUCACUUGAGUCUAUAGGGUAUAUUUGCCUCCCCUCUCCAGCGUGGUAUGUUUGAACAUGGAUGGAAAUAAGUGAGCAUAGGAUUUGCAGUGGUCCUCUACAGUGUGUGCACAUGUUUAGCCAGCACAUGCUUCAGGGACAGACCCAGCCAAGGCCAGUCACAAGCUAAGGUAUCCCCAGCCUCCUUGGUGACAGUGUGAAGAUCAGGGAGUGUUUGCAGGAAACAAAGAAGGGGAGCCAAGGGACCAAGGUGUACAUGUCAGCAAGCACCUUAGUCUUGCCGGCCUCUCCAGGGCCAUGAAGAAGCAGGAAGGCACAACAUGUCCUUCUAGGGCACGCUGGCUGCCUGAGAACAGAUCCAGGGAAGGCUGCAAGCCUGAGAGUGCGCUUAUGUCCUCAGCACAGUCUGCCCUCUCCCUGGAUGUCUAGCUCUGGCUGGCUCCUUGUUUGGGCAAAUACUGAUCCAGAUCAGGCCUGAGCGCCAAGUCCCAAGUGCUGGACAAAGGCAGGGGAGUGUCAGAUAGGAUCUGAGGUCUGACUCCUGGGAACAGUGUGGGUGCCCGCCCUGUGUUUGCACCGGUUUCCUGCUCUUGGGCUUUUGGGCUGUCUGUCUGCCAGGCUGGGCACGGCCACAGUCUGAGGAGGUCAGGGAGGCAGGGAUGGGGGCUUCCUCUUCCCAGCCCUCACCAGGCACAGCUACGUGGAGCACGGGGCAGCAUGUGUGAGCUGGUGGCGAGGAACAAGGCUAAAACACCCUAAGUUUCUGGUAUUGGGUGGGAAAAGGACAAAAUUUCAAGCAUUAUUACAACUUUAAAGGAUAAACACUGAAAUACACACAGGGAAAGAAGUUGCCAAGAAGGUAGAAAGAAAAACAGAACAAGAAGCACACGCGAGUAUAUGCACACACAUAGACACAUCAAUUCAAAAGGAGACAGAAAAGCAGAGUGGGUGGGAGGAAUUGGAUAUAAGAUGUUGCAAAGAAAUCCAAAUGUACCUGUAAUCACAAAAUAUGUAAAAGAGCCAGGCACUCCAGAUGAAGAAAAAGGAGAAAAGAA